CUAAAAUUGAAGUCAAGGUAAAACUAAAGUUGGGGAUUAAAAUAAAUGUUUUACAUUGCAUUUUCAAACCAAGUCUUGCUCACUUCCCAAUAGAUUUGGAAGGGAAUUGUUUAACUAACACCUGGAUAUUAUUUGCUCUGGAAAUAAAGAUGACUAAUUUUUGUUUAUGGUUUUGUCUAUAUAUUUGUGCAGAUCCAACUGAUACCUUUCUCUUGCACAUCUUCAGCCCGGAGAGGAUCAAAUCGAACAAUUCUUUGUUGGUCUGAAAGGAGGUGCAAGGAAUUCCUAAUGGCUGAAUUGUCAGCAAAGAUCUCUGUUCCCUCCGUUCUCCAAUUCAUAUGCUCAGCUGUUGCAAACGCCUCCAGGUUUCAAUGACAAUUUCCUGACAGUUUCUGUCUCUAUAUGUAUUUGCCAUGAGGAAUCAGAAAAAACUAUUGCUUGUUUUAAUACAGGUCCCUUGCUUCCCCUGUAGGCCUCUGAGUAUGCCUAGAGACAUUUGCAAAUAACGGACUCCCUGGUUCUGAUAUUGCUGCACCUGUGAAUCUAAUGUAGACUUAUUCAAUGUACUAAAAUAUUCUGUAUUAUCUAGAUCAGGUAUAGUAAUUGGCAUUUUAUUCCCCUUGGUUUGGCAGGGCUUUUUAGGCAUAGCGUAACAAUUAUUAUUGUGUGCACCAGCUGCACCAGGUAGAAAUCAGCCAGACGUCCGCAUGAUUGAAGUGCCCGAGGCUGUAACCAGACUGUUCGCGGAAUACAAAUACAUUGUAUGUUAUGUUACUGUAUGAGCAAAUUGAGGAACACUCUGUGCUAACAUAAAAAAUGUCUGUGUUCUAAAAAAAAAUUAAUACCCAAAGAAAGCAGACAAGCAGAUGUACAGCCUUGUGUAGG
Non-coding RNA from Pelobates cultripes (western spadefoot toad), 885 nucleotides. Lineage: Eukaryota; Metazoa; Chordata; Amphibia; Anura; Pelobatidae. The record is from the annotation of a GenBank genome assembly.